This 478-nucleotide ribosomal RNA is filed under the name uncultured soil bacterium. Its description in RNAcentral is "bacterial SSU rRNA". It matches the Rfam family "Bacterial small subunit ribosomal RNA", at positions 26 to 501 of the family's 1533-position model. The record is from RNAcentral.
AGAUUGAACGCUGGCGGCAUGCUUUACACAUGCAAGUCGAACGGUAACAGGCCGCAAGGUGCUGACGAGUGGCGAACGGGUGAGUAAUGCAUCGGAACGUGCCCAGUCGUGGGGGAUAACGCAGCGAAAGCUGUGCUAAUACCGCAUACGAUCUAUGGAUGAAAGCGGGGGACCGAAGGCCUCGCGCGAUUGGAGCGGCCGAUGUCAGAUUAGCUAGUUGGUGGGGUAAAGGCCCACCAAGGCGACGAUCUGUAGCUGGUCUGAGAGGACGACCAGCCACACUGGAACUGAGACACGGUCCAGACUCCUACGGGAGGCAGCAGUGGGAAUUUUGGACAAUGGGCGCAAGCCUGAUCCAGCAAUGCCGCGUGACCAGGAAGAAGGCCGUUCGGUUAGUAACGUUGUCGUUUUAGUACGGUAACGAAACGGUUCGUAGGGUUAACUACCGUCGGUACUUAAGUCGUACGGUACCGUAAAG